RNAcentral lists this transfer RNA (75 nucleotides) under Candidatus Roizmanbacteria bacterium CG_4_9_14_3_um_filter_33_18. Its description in RNAcentral is "tRNA-Thr". It matches the Rfam family "tRNA". From Rfam's summary of the family: Transfer RNA (tRNA) molecules are approximately 80 nucleotides in length. The record is from RNAcentral. Lineage: Bacteria; Candidatus Roizmaniibacteriota.
GCCCUGAUAGUUUAGUGGUAAAACAAACCCUUGGUAAGGGUUAGACUGUGAGUUCGAUUCUCACUCAGGGCUCAA